CGGGUGAGUAACACGUGAGUGACCUGCCUUUUAGACUGGAACAACUUACCGAAAGGUGAGCUAAUGCCGGAUGAGUUAUAUAAGUGCAUGUUUAUAUAGGAAAAGUUGGGGAGGCCUGACGCUGAAAGAUGGACUCGCGUCCCAUUAGCUAGUUGGUAGGGUAAUGGCCUACCAAGGCGACGAUGGGUAGCCGGCCUGAGAGGGUGGCCGGCCACACUGGGACUGAGACACGGCCCAGACUCCUACGGGAGGCAGCAG
This 258-nucleotide ribosomal RNA is filed under the name uncultured bacterium. Its description in RNAcentral is "partial 16S ribosomal RNA". It matches the Rfam family "Bacterial small subunit ribosomal RNA", at positions 103 to 354 of the family's 1533-position model. The record is from RNAcentral.